Cavia porcellus (domestic guinea pig) is the source of this 5457-nucleotide long non-coding RNA. RefSeq lists it as uncharacterized. Lineage: Eukaryota; Metazoa; Chordata; Mammalia; Rodentia; Caviidae. The transcript has 3 exons. The record is from RefSeq and is a predicted model, not a curated record.
CGGCCGCUCCGAGUCUUCCCUUUCUCUGCCCUCACUGCUGCCUCCUUUCCAGGCUUCGCACCAAGCCCCGCCCCAAGCAAGCAAAUAAAUCUAUCAAAACCGGGCGCACCCUAAUAGGCUGCUAGCUGGUCCCUUGGAAGAGAUCAGCGGGUGCCCUGGCUCGGGGGAGACCAGGAGACCCUGCCAGGUGUGAGCAACGGGUAAUUACAACCUCCGCUCCGGGAGGGCUUCCUACGUGCCGCGCACCACGCUAGGGAAGCUUUCCAGGCAUUUUCCCUUUUAAGCCGCCAGUUAACCCUUCAGUUAUUGAAAAUCCAUUUCACCUAUGGUGGAGAUGAACCCAGGGAAGGACUAAGGUCUUGCCCAAGGUGACACCAAUGAGCAACAGGCCUGGGAUUGGAAUCCAGUGUCCCAGCGCUGAAAUAGAGUUUUGCCUUCUAAGCCAGCAGGCGCUGACCGCCAGCCCAGCCGCCUCUCCCGCGGCGCACGCACUGUCCAGCCGCCUUCCUGGCAGUCAAGUCUGGGCAGGCGGUUGCACGGCGCUGGCGGCAGGAACUGGGCCGGGGGCUCCAGGCGCCAGCAGCCCGUGCAUCUCGCUCCUGGCUUCCCAGGCAGAUGCGCGGCUCUGGCCAGGUGCCACGCCCGCCUCUGGCCUCUGCCUGCGCCGCUUCUUGCGGUCUUUACUGCAAUUCCAGCGGCCCCACCUGACCGGGACGGAAGGGUGCGUGGGGCAGGCGCGGGACUCCGCGCCUCUCCGGGCUCCCGCCACCUCCGCGCCGGUCCCCACAGCCUGCCUGGCAUGUCACAGGCGAUGGAUCACCAUUCUUUACGUGAAUGAAUGACUGCUUAUCGAAUGCUGGCUUGGCACCCACUGGGUCGCGGGAGGAGGGACGCAAAGCAGAAAGGCUCGGAGACCGAUCUUCUGGCUCAGGGUCGCUAAAAGGUCAGGGGUCGCGUCCUGUUCCUGUUACCUUUAGCACGCACUUCAUGGUGGCACGUGGGCUGCUUCAACACGGGUGGGAAUCGUGAUCCGUGCAGGCGUCAAAACAACUGGCGGGCGAGAGAGGGGGUCUGGGGGACAUGGAUCAAGCGGAGACCAAGGAGUCUUGGGAGUGGCCAAGCAGGGAGGCAGCCGACCUCUGGACAGAGGAAGCCUGGGCACUGGGCGCUGGGUGGCCUGAGACUGAUCAGAACUCCGGGCUGACUCACUGGUUGUGGGACCUGGGACAUACAUUCCCGCACCUUUUGGUGUCACAGUUUGAUCUGCAAAAUGAGGGUGACAAUACACACUUCCGAGGAUUCUGUGAAACUGCGUUAUACUUAGUGCACCUAUAGAAAUGCUCUGUAUAAAUGUAUAUAACCUGUAUUACGAAUUAUUCAUUUAUUACAUGUAGUAAUUUAAAUGUUCUAUAUAAAUGCCAGCGGGCACCUAUACCCCAUAUAAAUGCUGUUAUAAACACUAAGUAAAUAUGGAGCCGCGCCACCUGAUGGGAGAGCCAGCUGCACACGUGCAGCAGUAUCAGAGUUUUGCUUGUGUUCUUUUAAAGGAAACUCUAUCCUCCCUUCAGGGCGACCAAAAAUAGACCUUUCUACCCAGCACCGCAACAGAAUGAGCCCAUUGGAUUCUCGCUACGAAUGUGAACAGUAAUCAUUAUCAUCCCCAUUUCAUAAAAGACAAAACCAAAUCCGGGCAGCAACUGAAACUUACAGAUCUAAAACAAUGCUUCAUUUCCUGCUGAAUCCCCCAAAAUGUUCCGUCCUCCAGAUAAGAUGGCCAAAACCCUGACCUCAGGAAGGCCACUGCUUCUCGCUUUCUUUCUAUGGCCAGCAGCCUCCUGCCUGCUCUGCUUGCAGAAGGACACAGUCUGACAGUUGCUCUCUGCCCUGGUGGGGGCAUCCAGGUCACCAUGAUCAGUGUCUGGGCCACUGGCCCCACUGGGCUACCUACUUCAGUACUGACCUGCAGAGUCUGUAUUUUCUGUGCAAGAGCCAGAGGGAUCCUUCAGAAGCUGGGGCAGGUCGUGUCCCAGCAGCUACCAGGGAUUCUCACGGCACUUAAACUACUCCAGCGUCCUCAGCUGACCUGAAGAGCACUCCCUGCAGUGACCCUGGGCUUCUGUCUCAGUGCCUCCCAUUAUCACCCUGCUCCUUGUGCUGUAACACAUUAUGAGCCUAGACUGGGCUUGUGCUUGUCUCAGCUCUUUCCCUUGCCUGACACCCUCUUUCCUGCACACACACACACACACACACACACACCCAUGGGGCUCACACUUACUGUACUCAGGCCUGUGCUCAGAUGUCCCCUCCUCAGACUGCCUUACUGGACCAUUUCAUCUGAAUGGCAUUUCCUGCUUUUAUCCAGCUUUAUUUUUCUUUGUAGCCCUUAUCUCUGCUGUGCAUUAUGUUACAGACCUGUGCAUCACCCAUUGCCUAGACACACGACCAACUCUCUGAGGUCAGAAGUACGCAUGUCUCCUUCACGUCUGAAUGUCCAGCACCCAAAAUGGUCCAGGACACCUGCUAGACAUUCAGUGCACUGUUGAACGAACGCCUGCACACUCUCCCAGCAGUUGUGUGCUGUUGUGGGGAUUGUGUGAGCCCAUGCUAGGGCUUGGGAAUGAUGGAAGCGCGCACCCCAGUUUCAUGCACUGAAAUCCAGCCCCCAUGUUUUGAGAUAGUAGAGUGAAAUCUAAUCUGACUGCGAUGUGGAGAGAUGGGUCUUUGGAAGGUGAUCAGGAUUGGAUAGGGUCCCCAGACAGAGCCCCCAUGACCAGAUCCUGGUGGCUUCGUUAAAAGGAGAGGCCAUGAAAUGCACACCUGUGUACCUGUGUCUGGCUUGCUAUGCCCAGCACCUUAGGAUUCUGGGCAGGAAGACCAUUACCUCAUGCAGGCCUUCAACUUGGAUCAGACCUGUGAGCUAAAAUACACCUCUUUUCCAAGUGCCAUGAACAAGAAUGAUCCUGGCACUGGCAAGGCCAGGCUGAGCAGGGUAGGGCCCAGCCCUCAGGCGGCCUAUGACACAAUCAGUGUCCAAGGAGGAGCUGCUUUGGUGGGCUCAGGGGCAGAGGAGGCCUUGGGAAGCAGGAGAAGCCUGAGAAGUGAGCUGGAUCUUGGUUGAAGUUGGCCAGAAGGAAAAGAGAGCUCUAGACAGGGAGGCAAUGAUUGGGACACCCUGGGCAAUGAUUGGGAGGGCAGGGCCGGUGUGGAGGUGGCUAGGACAUGGCGGGGAAUUGCUGAGAGAUUGAAAGCAUAGAACAAAAUAUUGGCAGAGUUUCAGAACCGUCACCCCUGAACCUCCAGUGUGGAGGGUGUCCUGGGAGGGGCUUUGGGCUGGUGCCAUGGAAAGACCACUGUGGUCACCCCAGAGGGAAGAAGGAGGCAGUUUCUUCUUUUAAUGUUGAGACAGGGUCCCACUCACUCACUCUUACUGGUCUUAAACUGGCAAUUCUCCUAGCUCUGCCUCCCGUGUAGCUGGGAUUACAGGCGUGUGCCUCCGUGCCUGGCUGGCUGUGUUUUUCUUCACAUUCUUCUUCCGUUUUGUUUUGGGGUUUUUUGGUACCAGGGAUGGAACCAUGGGCUUGCAAGGCAGGCACUUAUGCCUGCUGAGCUAAAUCCCCAGCCCCUCUUCACAUUCUUCUUAAGAGGUAAAAACCUUUUAAAUCCUGGAUUCCAUGUCCCAUCCGCUACCACCUGACAUUUUGACCUUUUAAGACAGUUAUGAAAACACACCUAAGUGUUUCCUUCCCUCGAUGGUUUGGAGGGCGAAGUUCCUAAGGCCACGUGAUAAAGGCAUGGUCCCGAAGGUGGCAUUAUUGGGAGGCAGAGGAAACUUUAGGAGCUGUAGUCUAGUGGGAGGCCUCAGGCACUGGAGCAGGCACUUGAAGGGGACUGCUGCACCCGGACUCCUCCUCCUCCUCCUCCAUUUGCUUCCUCAUCAGGACGUGAGCAGUUUGCUGUGGGCCCCCUGCCAUUGCUACCUGAGGUGGCCCCUGGAGAUCCAAGAUUUGCACUGCAACCUUCAGAAUGGUGAGCCAGCUAAAUACCUCAGAUGCUUCACUAUCAAGAUGGGACACUGACCACCACACUUCAGUCCAUGACUUGGCUGCCCAUCUCUUCUGUUUUAUUUGCAUCUAGGUGAAGAUUUUCAGGUUGAAUGUUACCUGAAAUAAUUGCCCACGCGACCCCAACAUUUAAGAUGGUCUAUACUUUUUAGAAAUAAAAAUAGAAGUGUUUGUUUUAUUCCCAUAUCUAGAAUGACACUACAAUGCAAUUUCCUACAUUCAUUUAGUUUAAUAACCAGUUUAAUGACCAUUUUAAUUGUUUUCAUUGUCGAAGUCAUUUGCACGUAUUCCAGAAUUUUCCAAAACUAUGAUGAAAUCAGCCUUCAACUCACCAUCCCAGCACACUGCAAAUAAUUUAGCUUGCUGGCUUCCAUGAGUUUAGGAACUAGGACAGAAGCAGCCAGCACAGUUCCCGGGUCAGCCACGAGAUGAGGACAGGUGACAGCUGACACCCCCUAGGGUGCUGUGCUGUCAACGUUCUGGGACAUAGCUGGAAAUCUCUUCCAUCUCCAAUCCCACAUCCGGGUGCUGUGUGUGAAUUCAACCAGAAGCAGAGGGCCUGGCUAAUCCUGAGUCCACUGAAAUACCACAAAUGGUAGCUGACACUGUGACUUACAGCCACGGUUCCUUAUCUGUGUUACUCUCCAGGCUGAAGGAGCACGGUCGCCCGUGGAGGCAACGUCCCCCAGGUCAAGGCUUUGGAGAGUAGAUCCAAAGCACAGUAGUUCCUGUGUCACUGGGGGCAUGUCCCAAGCCAUCAGGAGACACCCAAACCUCAGAUUGCAUCGAGGAGGUUAAUAACUAAUAAUAAAAGGGAACAAUUAUAGCAAGAGGCUGUAAUAAAACACUUAUGGAUUGAUUCUGGAAUUUUCCAGUUAAUGUUUCCAGAUCAAGACUGAACAGGAAUUUUCCUGCAGAAAGUGAAACUGGCUGUGCAGAGGCUCCUGGAAACACAUGCGGGGCCUUCGGGGUCACCGCAGCUUGGGUGAAACACACAGGACUUUUCUUCUCCAGGCGUGAGAGUUCCUUGGCCCUUUGCCAUACACAAUUUCUGCAGAAAUGCCGGUGGGUGUAACUCUCUGUCGCCUUGGUUGGCCUGGCAAGGCGCACGGGGACUGACCAUAUAAUUGCUGUGUAAACAGACAGGAAGCAUCACAGUACUUGUUCUGGGCAGGUCAACAAAUACUUAGGUCCUGAAUCAUGAGUGUGUUACACACAUACACACACACAGAAUCCCUUUGUAACAGUCUGGCAGGAAGUAAAUGCUAUUUAAAAUUUUAAUUUGCAGUUGAGAGAAUAGCAUGGCCUUUGCAAUUCAAAUUAAAAGUAUGUCAUCAUGUUGUACCCAUAAAUAUGGAUCAUUAUUAUGUAGCAAUUAAUUUUUAAAUAAAUUUAA